GUUAGGAAUAUUGGACAAUGGGCGCAAGCCUGAUCCAGCCAUGCCGCGUGAGUGAUGAAGGCCUUCGGGUUGUAAAGCUCUUUAGUCCACGAAUAUAAUGACUGUAGUGGAAGAAUAAGCCCCGGCUAACUUCGUGCCAGCAGCCGCGGUAAUACGAAGGGGGCGAGCGUUAUUCGGAAUCACUGGGCGUAAAGCGUGCGUAGGCUGUUUUGUAAGUCAGAAGUGAAAGCCCAGGGCUUAACCCUGGAAUUGCUUUUGAAACUACAAGACUCGAAUUCGGGAGAGGAUAGCGGAAGUGUCAGUGUAGCAGUGAAAUGCGUAGAUAUUGACAGGAACACCAGUGGCGCAAGCGGCUAUCUGGACCGAUAUUGACGCUGAGGCACGAAAGCGUGGGGAGCAAACAGGAUUAGAAACCCUGGUAGUCCCAU
RNAcentral lists this ribosomal RNA (428 nucleotides) under uncultured bacterium. Its description in RNAcentral is "partial 16S ribosomal RNA". It matches the Rfam family "Bacterial small subunit ribosomal RNA", at positions 354 to 798 of the family's 1533-position model. The record is from RNAcentral.